UCCCUGGUAGCUCAAAAUGUAGAGAAUCUGCCUGUCAUGUAGAAGACUCAGGUUUGAUCCCUGGAUUGGGAA
This 72-nucleotide transfer RNA is filed under the name Bos taurus (domestic cattle). It matches the Rfam family "tRNA". From Rfam's summary of the family: Transfer RNA (tRNA) molecules are approximately 80 nucleotides in length. Lineage: Eukaryota; Metazoa; Chordata; Mammalia; Artiodactyla; Bovidae. The record is from Rfam by way of RNAcentral. RNAcentral also lists the same sequence under 5 other names.